This 273-nucleotide ribosomal RNA is filed under the name uncultured Streptococcus sp. RNAcentral describes it as "partial 16S ribosomal RNA". It matches the Rfam family "Bacterial small subunit ribosomal RNA", at positions 1108 to 1382 of the family's 1533-position model. The record is from RNAcentral. Lineage: Bacteria; Bacillati; Bacillota; Bacilli; Lactobacillales; Streptococcaceae.
UUGUUAGUUGCCAUCAUUCAGUUGGGCACUCUAGCGAGACUGCCGGUAAUAAACCGGAGGAAGGUGGGGAUGACGUCAAAUCAUCAUGCCCCUUAUGACCUGGGCUACACACGUGCUACAAUGGUUGGUACAACGAAUUGCGAGUCGGUGACGGCGAGCUAAUCUCUUAAAGCCAAUCUCAGUUCGGAUUGUAGGCUGCAACUCGCCUACAUGAAGUCGGAAUCGCUAGUAAUCGCGGAUCAGCACGCCGCGGUGAAUACGUUCCCGGGCCUU